Molecule: non-coding RNA, 323 nt
Organism: Cinara cedri
Lineage: Eukaryota; Metazoa; Arthropoda; Insecta; Hemiptera; Aphididae
Source: the annotation of a GenBank genome assembly
CGUGCCGGCGUACCUAAACCGAGUGCGUCUUUUUUUGUUUUUUUUUUUUUACCGUCUAUACGUACACAGUAUAAUACGCUGUACACGUAUAUAUAUAUAUAUAGGUAUUGUAUGUACAUUAUAAGGUACAUACCUUCAUGAUAUUACACGUUAUGCGCGUACCCGCAGUAUACGCGUACACGUUAAACACGCCACAAAAGUUGUUUUUUAUUUUUUUUUUUUUUCUUUCUUUCUUAUUCAAGCACACACACACACACGCGGUCAGAAUAUUAUCGUCGUUACACUCGCGUAUUAUAUUACCGCGUAUAGGACGUACAGGUAGG